RNAcentral lists this ribosomal RNA (467 nucleotides) under uncultured bacterium. Its description in RNAcentral is "partial 16S ribosomal RNA". It matches the Rfam family "Bacterial small subunit ribosomal RNA", at positions 28 to 506 of the family's 1533-position model. The record is from RNAcentral.
GACGAACGCUGGCGGCGUGCUUAACACACGCAAGUCGAACGGAAAGGCCCUGCUUUUGUGGGGUGCUCGAGUGGCGAACGGGUGAGUAACACGUGAGUAACCUGCCCUUGACUUUGGGAUAACUUCAGGAAACUGGGGCUAAUACCGGAUAGGAGCUCCUGCUGCAUGGUGGGGGUUGGAAAGUUUCGGCGGUUGGGGAUGGACUCGCGGCUUAUCAGCUUGUUGGUGGGGUAGUGGCUUACCAAGGCUUUGACGGGUAGCCGGCCUGAGAGGGUGACCGGCCACAUUGGGACUGAGAUACGGCCCAGACUCCUACGGGAGGCAGCAGUGGGGAAUAUUGCACAAUGGGCGGAAGCCUGAUGCAGCAACGCCGCGUGCGGGAUGACGGCCUUCGGGUUGUAAACCGCUUUCGCCUGUGACGAAGCGUGAGUGACGGUAAUGGGGAAAGAAGCACCGGCUAACUACGU